GACGAACGCUGGCGGCGUGCUUAACACAUGCAAGUCGAACGGAAAGGCCCUGCUUUUGUGGGGUGCUCGAGUGGCGAACGGGUGAGUAACACGUGAGUAACCUGCCCUUGACUUUGGGAUAACUUCAGGAAACUGGGGCUAAUACCGGAUAGGAGCUCCUGCUGCAAGGUGGGGGUUGGAAAGUUUCGGCGGUUGGGGAUGGACUCGCGGCUUAUCAGCCUGUUGGUGGGGUAGUGGCUUACCAAGGCUUUGACGGGUAGCCGGCCUGAGAGGGUGACCGGCCACAUUGGGACUGAGAUGCGGCCGAGACUCCUACGGGAGGCAGCAGUGGGGAAUAUUGCACCAUGGGCGGAAGCCUGAUGCAGCAACGCCGCGUGCUGGAUGACGGCCUUCGGGUUGUAAACCGCUUUCGCCUGUGACGAAGCGUGAGUGACGGUAAUGGGUAAAGAAGCACCGGCUAACUACGUG
Molecule: ribosomal RNA, 468 nt
Filed under: uncultured bacterium
Lineage: Bacteria
Description: partial 16S ribosomal RNA
Rfam family: Bacterial small subunit ribosomal RNA
Source: RNAcentral